AGCAGCCGCGGUAAUUCCAGCUCCAAUAGCGUAUAUUAAAGUUGUUGCAGUUAAAAAGCUCGUAGUUGAAUUUCGGGGUCAGUAGGUUGGUCGUGCCACCGGUACGUACUGGUCUCACUGAUUCCUCCUUCCUGAAGAACCGUAAUGCCAUUAAUUUGGUGUUGCGGGGAAACAGGACUGUUACUUUGAAAAAAUUAGAGUGUUUAAAGCAGGCUAACGCUUGAAUACAUUAGCAUGGAAUAAUGAAAUAGGACGAUCGAUCCUAUUUUGUUGGUUUCUAGGAUUGACGUAAUGAUUAAUAGGGAUAGUUGGGGGCAUUAGUAUUCAAUUGUCAGAGGUGAAAUUCUUGGAUUUAUUGAAGACUAACUACUGCGAAAGCAUUUGCCAAGGAUGUUUUCAUUAAUCAAGAACGAAAGUUAGGGGAUCGAAGACGAUCAGAUACCGUCGUAGCCUUAACCAUAAACUAUAGCCGACUAGGGAUCGGAUGAUGUUAAUUUUAUAAUG
RNAcentral lists this ribosomal RNA (504 nucleotides) under uncultured Glomus. Its description in RNAcentral is "SSU rRNA". It matches the Rfam family "Eukaryotic small subunit ribosomal RNA", at positions 569 to 1076 of the family's 1831-position model. The record is from RNAcentral. Lineage: Eukaryota; Fungi; Glomeromycota; Glomeromycetes; Glomerales; Glomeraceae.